Molecule: long non-coding RNA, 427 nt
Organism: Xenia sp. Carnegie-2017
Lineage: Eukaryota; Metazoa; Cnidaria; Anthozoa; Malacalcyonacea; Xeniidae
Exons: 4
Source: RefSeq, a predicted model, not a curated record
AUAAAUGAGUUAUCCUGCCAUGAGAUUACCGAAUUGGCUAGCAAAACAAAAUAUGUGACAGUUUGCCUUCAUCAUUCAUUAUAUGAAAUAUGAUAACAAGGCAGAAGUUCUCUAAGAAAACAACAAGCAUAUCUCUAAACAAUUGUUUUUUUUCUUUGCAGCCAAAUACAAGUAUUGCUAUUGCAAAAAGGAAAGGUCAAAGGACGAAGAAGACGAAAUGAUUGUUUGCGAAAACAGAAAAAGAAAAACAAGAAAGUGUCCAGGAAACAAUUAUUACCACAUGGUCUGUUUGAAACUUAAAGUUGUACCAGACACCGAUCUUGGUUCUGUCCCAGCUGCCGAGUAACUAACAGCAAGUGAUCAGUAACUGGCAGAUAUGUACAUAAUUUAAUUGAACGUUUAGUAAAACUUCAUUUUGGAAUACUAA